Molecule: ribosomal RNA, 252 nt
Filed under: uncultured bacterium
Lineage: Bacteria
Description: partial 16S ribosomal RNA
Rfam family: Bacterial small subunit ribosomal RNA
Source: RNAcentral
UACGUAGGUCCCGAGCGUUGUCCGGAUUUAUUGGGCGUAAAGCGAGCGCAGGUGGUUUAUUAAGUCUGGUGUAAAAGGCAGUGGCUCAACCAUUGUAUGCAUUGGAAACUGGUAGACUUGAGUGCAGGAGAGGAGAGUGGAAUUCCAUGUGUAGCGGUGAAAUGCGUAGAUAUAUGGAGGAACAACGGUGGCGAAAGCGGCUCUCUGGCCUGUAACUGACACUGAGGCUCGAAAGCGUGGGGAGCAAACAGG